UACGUAGGGGGCAAGCGUUAUCCGGAUUUACUGGGUGUAAAGGGGGCGCAGACGGCAAUGCAAGCCAGGAGUGAAAGCCCGGGGCCCAACCCCGGGACUGCUCUUGGAACUGCAUGGCUGGAGUACAGGAGGGGCAGGCGGAAUUCCUAGUGUAGCGGCGAAAUGCGUAGAUAUUAGGAGGAACACCGGUGGCGAAGGCGGCCUGCUGGACUGUGACUGACGUUGAGGCCCGAAGGCGUGGGGAGCAAACAGG
Molecule: ribosomal RNA, 253 nt
Filed under: uncultured bacterium
Lineage: Bacteria
Description: partial 16S ribosomal RNA
Rfam family: Bacterial small subunit ribosomal RNA
Source: RNAcentral